GACGAACGCUGGUGGCGUGCUUAACACAUGCAAGUCGAACGCUGAAGCUCAGCUUUUGUUGGGUGGAUGAGUGGCGAACGGGUGAGUAACACGUGAGUAACCUGCCUCCUUCUUUGGGAUAACGCCCGGAAACGGGUGCUAAUACUGGAUAUUCACUGGUCUUCGCAUGGGGGUUGGUGGAAAGGGUUUUUCUGGUGGGGGAUGGGCUCGCGGCCUAUCAGCUUGUUGGUGGGGUGAUGGCCUACCAAGGCUUUGACGGGUAGCCGGCCUGAGAGGGUGACCGGUCACAUUGGGACUGAGAUACGGCCCAGACUCCUACGGGAGGCAGCAGUGGGGAAUAUUGCACAAUGGGCGCAAGCCUGAUGCAGCGACGCCGCGUGAGGGAUGGAGGCCUUCGGGUUGUGAACCUCUUUCGCUCAUGGUCAAGCCGCAACAAUGGUUGUGGUGAGGGUAGUGGGUAAAGAAGCGCCGGCUAACUACGUG
Molecule: ribosomal RNA, 483 nt
Filed under: uncultured bacterium
Lineage: Bacteria
Description: partial 16S ribosomal RNA
Rfam family: Bacterial small subunit ribosomal RNA
Source: RNAcentral